UACAUGGGGUGCAAACGUUGCUCGGAAUCAUUGGGCGUAAAGCGCGCGUAGGCGGUUACUUAAGUUGGAUGUGAAAGCCCUCGGCUUAACUGAGGAAGUGCAUCCAAAACUGAGUAGCUAGAGUACGAAAGAGGGUCGCGGAAUUCCCGGUGUAGAGGUGAAAUUCGUAGAUAUCGGGAGGAACACCGGUGGCGAAGGCGGCGACCUGGGUAGAUACUGACGCUGAGGCGCGAAAGCGUGGGGAGCAAACAGG
RNAcentral lists this ribosomal RNA (253 nucleotides) under uncultured bacterium. RNAcentral's name for it is "partial 16S ribosomal RNA". It matches the Rfam family "Bacterial small subunit ribosomal RNA", at positions 524 to 776 of the family's 1533-position model. The record is from RNAcentral.